This 478-nucleotide ribosomal RNA is filed under the name uncultured bacterium. Its description in RNAcentral is "partial 16S ribosomal RNA". It matches the Rfam family "Bacterial small subunit ribosomal RNA", at positions 28 to 523 of the family's 1533-position model. The record is from RNAcentral.
GACGAACGCUGGCGGCGUGCUUAACACAUGCAAGUCGAACGGUAAGGCCCUUCGGGGUACACGAGUGGCGAACGGGUGAGUAACACGUGGGUGAUCUGCCCUGCACUUCGGGAUAAGCCUGGGAAACUGGGUCUAAUACCGGAUAGGACCCUGGGAUGCAUGUCCUGGGGUGGAAAGCUUUUGCGGUGUGGGAUGGGCCCGCGGCCUAUCAGCUUGUUGGUGGGGUGAUGGCCUACCAAGGCGACGACGGGUAGCCGGCGUGAGAGGGUGACCGGCAAGACUGGGACUGGGAGAGGGCCCAGACUCCUACGGGAGGCAGCAGUGGGGAAUAUUGCACAAUGGGCGCAAGCCUGAUGCAGCGCCGCCGCGUGAGGGAUGACGGCCUUCGGGUUGUAAACCUCUUUCAGCACCGACGAAGCGCAAGUGACGGUAGGUGCAGAAGAAGGACCGGCCAACUACGUGCCAGCCGCCGCAGUAA